This 301-nucleotide ribosomal RNA is filed under the name uncultured bacterium. RNAcentral's name for it is "partial 16S ribosomal RNA". It matches the Rfam family "Bacterial small subunit ribosomal RNA", at positions 509 to 807 of the family's 1533-position model. The record is from RNAcentral.
CAGUCGCCGCGGUAAUACGUAGGGUGCAAGCGUUAAUCGGAAUUACUGGGCGUAAAGCGUGCGCAGGCGGUUAUAUAAGACAGAUGUGAAAUCCCCGGGCUCAACCUGGGAACUGCAUUUGUGACUGUAUAGCUAGAGUACGGCAGAGGGGGAUGGAAUUCCGCGUGUAGCAGUGAAAUGCGUAGAUAUGCGGAGGAACACCGAUGGCGAAGGCAAUACCCUGGGCCUGUACUGACGCUCAUGCACGAAAGCGUGGGGAGCAAACAGGAUUAGAUACCCCCGUAGUCCCUGUCUCUUAUAC